UGAAGGCGAGGUUGUACCAUGGGCUGCAGUAGCUUGACAAUAUGCAACGACUGUGUUACAGACGUGCCUCGCGAUAGGCUGUCCUACGAUGGGACUCCAAUUUGCCACCCGCCAAGACUGUUCUGCAGAGGCAUGACAGGGUGGAGAGAUGUUUUGAUCUGUGAAGAUAGACUACCGACGUGGCGGCUUCUCUAAAGACCUUUCUUCAGGAGAACAUCACUGCGGUUCUCUGUGAAAAGUACCCCAGACCCAAAGAUACUCUUUUCUCUGUACCUGGCCUGAACUAUGUAGGACUUGUCGAUUCACAUGUUAAAUAUCAAAGUGUUGGUCAGCCUAUGUAGAGUCGAACACAGACAAAAGAGAGGGCUCCGUUAAUGAUUAACUGUUCUAAAAGCCCCGGCUUUUGUAUUCCCAUGGUGCCCGGGCUAUCUGGAGGCCAUGUGACAAGCUCGCAGCGUUUUUCGAGCAGAUUGGGGGAAAGCUAGUGAGCAAACACAGGUGCCUUGGACUGGCGUCGCUGCCUAUGCUGUCAGGGACAACCACAAACAAGGGCAGCUAUGCCUGGCUAAAAGAGACCCCAAGCCCCCCUCGUUGGCUAUCUGGCUAGUUAGCAUGUUAGCUCACUAUCUUAUACACAAUGCGGUGACUGAGACCCCUCCCCCCCCCCCCCCCCCCCCUUAUCCAAUGUCCUCCGGCCGUGCUCCACGACUUCUCACACUCUCCACAGAAACAAACAAAUAAAAGUGAGGACUGGAGAACCACUUCUUUUAGGUGGUGGCAUUUGCAGAGGUUGUGAGUAGUGGGAGAGCAAACAAAUUAAUGGUGUUCAAGUUUUCACUUUCAAAACCAAAUGUCUUUUUGCUAAGUGGGGCAAUUGCAGUGACCUUGGUGUCAAACAUUGUAAAGGUUGCAAACACCCUGGCUCUCAACAACCCUGAACAUCGAUCAAUUGUUAAAUUAAGGCUUUCAAGGUAAGUAAAAAUAUAGGUUAGUGUUAGGGUUUUUAAAUGAGUCUGUAAAAUGUGUUUUCAUUUUUUGAUUGCAUUGUUCCACUAAUUUGUGAUUUCACAACCAAUCAAUUUUUUAUGCAUUUUUGUUCAUAGUGAAACCGUUUAUUUGAUGAUAAUUGAUAAAAGUGAUUGUUUGUUGAUAAUGUUUAUUU
Molecule: long non-coding RNA, 1162 nt
Organism: Osmerus eperlanus (European smelt)
Lineage: Eukaryota; Metazoa; Chordata; Actinopteri; Osmeriformes; Osmeridae
Exons: 4
Source: RefSeq, a predicted model, not a curated record